Molecule: ribosomal RNA, 882 nt
Filed under: Triticum aestivum (bread wheat)
Lineage: Eukaryota; Viridiplantae; Streptophyta; Magnoliopsida; Poales; Poaceae
Description: partial small subunit ribosomal RNA
Source: RNAcentral
AUGGCAUCCGCGACGACAAUGCACCACCGGCGCCGCUCCAUUAUCCAGCUGGCCUUCCUGCUCCUGGUGGCGUCACCGGCGUCAAUGCUGGCGGCCGGCGGAGCCUGCGAGAGCGAGGAGUUCCCGGCCGGCAGGAGCUACGCGACGUGCGCGGACCUCCCGACCCUCGGCGCCUCGCUGCACUGGACGUACGACGCGCCGGCCUCGUCGCUGUCCCUGGCGUUCGCGGCCAAGCCGCCGGGCACGAGCGGCGCCGGCUGGGUGGCCUGGGGGAUCAACCCCACCGGCGACGGCAUGAAGGGCGCGCAGACGCUCGUUGCCUUCAAGAGCAGCGGCGCGUACGUCGUCAACACGUACAACCUCACCGGGUACCGCCCGCUCAGCGCGGCGUCCAUGCCGAUCGCGUUCGAGGCCACCGACCUCGCCGCCGACGAGGGCGCCGACGGGAAGGUGCGGCUCUACGGUACGCUGCAGCUGCCCAAGGGCAUGGAGGCCGUGAACCACAUCUGGCAGGUAGGGUCGACGGUGGCCAAUGGGGUGCCGGCCAAGCACGCGUUCGCGCAGGAGAACCUGGAUUCGAAGGGCAGUCUCGUGCUCACUGGUGCCGGAGCGACGGACGCCGCGCCGGCUCCGGUGGCCGGUGGCCCGUCGGCCGAGGAGGCUACUGGUAACCUAGAGACAGAGACCGCGCCCGAGGCAGCGCCGGCCCCGUUGGCCGGUGCCCCGUCGACCGAGGAGGCUGGCGGUGACCUAGAGACGGGAACCGCACCGUCGCCAGCGCCAGCGCCGUCCAGCGGGUCGGCAGCGAUAAUCACCACGUACGCCUCGGCUCCGGUGUUCAUUUUGAUUCUGGUGUUCGCUGGUUUCUUCGCGACUGUAUAA